CCUACGGGUGGCAGCAGUGGGGAAUAUUGGGCAAUGGGCGCAAGCCUGAACCAGCCAUGCCGCGUGCAGGAAGACGGCUCUAUGAGUUGUAAACUGCUUUUGUACGAGGGUAAACGCAGAUACGCGUAUCUGUCUGAAAGUAUCGUACGAAUAAGGAUCGGCUAACUCCGUGCCAGCAGCCGCGGUACUACGGAGGAUUCAAGCGUUCUCCGGAUUUAUUGGGUUUAAAGGGUGCGUAGGCGGUCGGAUAAGUUAGAGGUGAAAUCCCGAGGCUCAACUUCGGAAUUGCCUCUGAUACUGUUCGGCUAGAGAGUAGUUGCGGUAGGCAGAAUGUAUGGUGUAGCGGUGAAAUGCUUAGAGAUCAUACAGAACACCGAUUGCGAAGGCAGCUUACCAAGCUACUUCUGACGUUGAGGCACGAAAGCGUGGGGAGCAAACAGGAUUAGAUACCCUUGUAGUC
This 460-nucleotide ribosomal RNA is filed under the name uncultured bacterium. Its description in RNAcentral is "partial 16S ribosomal RNA". It matches the Rfam family "Bacterial small subunit ribosomal RNA", at positions 338 to 795 of the family's 1533-position model. The record is from RNAcentral.